CGGCAGAAAGCCAACCUGCGGAUCCGCUUCAAACCGUCCCUCUUCCAGCACGUGGGCACUCACUCCUCGCUGGCUGGCAAGAUCCAGAAACUGAAGGACAAAGACUUUGGAAAGCAGGCGCUGCGGAAGGAGCAUGUGAACCCGCCAGCAGAGGUGAGCACGAGCCUGAAGACAUACCAGCACUUCACCCUGGAGAAAGCCUACCUGCGCGAGGACUUCUUCUGGGCCUUCACCCCUGCCGCGGGGGACUUCAUCCGCUUCCGCUUCUUCCAACCUCUAAGACUGGAGCGGUUCUUCUUCCGCAGUGGGAACAUCGAGCACCCGGAGGACAAGCUCUUCAACACGUCUGUGGAGGUGCUGCCCUUCGACAACCCUCAGUCAGACAAGGAGGCCCUGCAGGAGGGCCGCACCGCCACCCUCCGGUACCCUCGGAGCCCCGACGGCUACCUCCAGAUCGGUGGGCUCCUUCUACAAGGGAGUGGCAGAGGGAGAGGUGGACCCAGCCUUCGGCCCUCUGGAAGCACUGCGCCUCUCGAUCCAGACGGACUCCCCUGUGUGGGUGAUUCUGAGCGAGAUCUUCCUGAAAAAGGCCGACUAAGCUGCGGGCUUCUGAGGGUACCCUGUGGCCAGCCCUGAAGCCCACAUUUCUGGGGGUGUCGUCACUGCCGUCCCCGGAGGGCCAGAUACGGCCCCGCCCAAAGGGUUCUGCCUGGCGUCGGGCUUGGGCCGGCCUGGGGUCCGCCGCUGGCCCGGAGGCCCUAGGAGCUGGUGCUGCCCCCGCCCGCCGGGCCGCGGAGGAGGCAGGCGGCCCCCACACUGUGCCUGAGGCCCGGAACCGUUCGCACCCGGCCUGCCCCAGUCAGGCCGUUUUAGAAGAGCUUUUACUUGGGCGCCCGCCGUCUCUGGCGCGAACACUGGAAUGCAUAUACUACUUUAUGUGCUGUGUUUUUUAUUCUUGGAUACAUUUGAUUUUUUCACGUAAGUCCACAUAUACUUCUAUAAGAGCGUGACUUGUAAUAAAGGGUUAAUGAAG
RNAcentral lists this long non-coding RNA (1033 nucleotides) under Homo sapiens (human). RNAcentral's name for it is "long non-coding RNA NONHSAT205114.1". Lineage: Eukaryota; Metazoa; Chordata; Mammalia; Primates; Hominidae. The record is from RNAcentral.